Molecule: ribosomal RNA, 253 nt
Filed under: uncultured bacterium
Lineage: Bacteria
Description: partial 16S ribosomal RNA
Rfam family: Bacterial small subunit ribosomal RNA
Source: RNAcentral
UACGUAGGGUGCAAGCGUUGUCCGGAAUUAUUGGGCGUAAAGAGCUCGUAGGCGGUCUGUCGCGUCUGCUGUGAAAACUCAGGGCUUAACCCUGAGCUUGCAGUGGGUACGGGCAGACUAGAGUGCGGUAGGGGAGACUGGAAUUCCUGGUGUAGCGGUGAAAUGCGCAGAUAUCAGGAGGAACACCGGUGGCGAAGGCGGCUUUCUGGACGACAACUGACGCUGAGACGCGAAAGCGUGGGGAGCAAACAGG